AUACGGAGGGGGUUAGCGUUGUCCGGAAUUACUGGGCGUAAAGCGCACGUAGGCGGACUGGAAAGUUGGGGGUGAAAUCCCGGGGCUCAACCCCGGAACUGCCUCCAAAACUUCCAAUCUAGAGAUCGAGAGAGGUGAGUGGAAUUCCAAGUGUAGAGGUGAAAUUCGUAGAUAUUUGGAGGAACACCAGUGGCGAAGGCGGCUCACUGGCUCGAUACUGACGCUGAGGUGCGAAAGCGUGGGGAGCAAACAGGAUUAGAAACCCUAGUAGUCC
Molecule: ribosomal RNA, 274 nt
Filed under: uncultured bacterium
Lineage: Bacteria
Description: partial 16S ribosomal RNA
Rfam family: Bacterial small subunit ribosomal RNA
Source: RNAcentral